GUGCCAGCAGCCGCGGUAAUACGGGGGGGGCGAGCGUUGUCCGAAGUUACUGGGCGUAAAGGGCGCGUAGGCGGGACGAUAAGUCUGCUGUGAAAGCCCGGGGCUUAACCCCGGAGGGUCGGUGGAUACUGUCGUUCUUGAAGGUGCUAGGGGGAGGUGGAAUUGCCGGUGUAGCGGUGAAAUGCGUAGAUAUCGGUAGGAACACCCGUGGCGAAGGCGGCCUCCUGGGGUACUCUUGACGCUGAGGCGCGAAAGCUGGGGGAGCGAACGGGAUUAGAUACCCCGGUAGUCC
This 292-nucleotide ribosomal RNA is filed under the name uncultured bacterium. RNAcentral describes it as "partial 16S ribosomal RNA". It matches the Rfam family "Bacterial small subunit ribosomal RNA", at positions 505 to 796 of the family's 1533-position model. The record is from RNAcentral.